RNAcentral lists this long non-coding RNA (1806 nucleotides) under Volvox carteri. RNAcentral describes it as "long non-coding RNA (VCAR_LNC000562)". Lineage: Eukaryota; Viridiplantae; Chlorophyta; Chlorophyceae; Chlamydomonadales; Volvocaceae. The record is from RNAcentral.
GAGUUUGGCAAGGAUGACUGCCUCUUGCAGCCUGAUGGCCUGAUGGGUCGGGCCACCUCGGGGUCCCGGCACAGGCAUGUGUGUGUGUACACCAGUUUGCGCCGCUUUCCUUGCCGCUUAGGCUGUUGCCGGCAGUGCCUCUGUCCGUUAUGCCAAUAUGAAGUUGUGAGUGUUACAUGGCCGUGGGUGCGUUCCCCGUACCUGCAAAUCGCCCUAAUACGAGCCGAGGGCUCAAGGGCUGCCAGAUCGCCUGUAAGCACCACCCUCCGUCGCAUUUCAGACAAAGCAAGUUAUGAAGGAUACUAACGACCAAACGGAACGAUAGAGUUGCGGUGUCCAUAUACGUUCCAGCAUCCUUCCCAGGCGUUCAGGUUCCCACUUCAUAGCGUGCUUCAAAUGCUUGAAGCAUGGGAAAUCCAUAUCAGAUCUGAUUUUGUCAUACACCGGGCAGUCCAGCAAAAUGUGCUUCUCAUCCUCGAUAUGGCUAUCAGUGCCGCAACAGGGGCAUACUCGCUCCUCCCUAGGUACGUAACGCCGUCCCUUACGCGCGCUGGUAGCCGCCAAUGCCAAUAUGGCCGCUUGAAGGGGCAGGUUGUACGGUGGAUUGCAAGCUGGAAUAACUGUACUCCUGGAAAUGUAACGUCUGGGUUCUCUAAGGGGGGCUAGGUUUUACAGAGGUUAUGGUAACGUGCCCGUGCUUCAAAAUGUGAAUACUUUCCAGCCCUGCUUGGCGCAGGGCUGGAGCAGUUACGUGCGUCAGACCGUUCGGCAAAACGCACGGUAUAAAGACGCGGCAACGAUUGCAUGGUGUCAUUUCACCUCCCAAGUGAAGACCACAAUUAUCCUCACGAUGCAUAAUGGAAACCACCUCCAAAGGCACUGACCAGCCCUGGUGUGCUGACUCACGGUUACGGGUCCAAGGCAACUUGUCGCGCGGAGACAUGCUAAUCCUUCGCACAUGGAAAUGGGCGACAACCUGAGAACCUACCUACAUGGCAGCUUAAGUGCUUCGUAGCGCAACGCAGGUAAGAACCAGGGUAAGGACCUUCUUUGUGGUGCCGCAAACUAACGAUAAUUAAUAAGGCGGGAUCAUUACACUACGAUGUCCUCCAUAACAUAGGUAGGUGCAAAUCCGAGUAAAAGAACUGCUCGUUUCUUCCGUAUGCACCCCUUCUCGUACCGUACCGCUUUGCAGUCACACUAGGCAACAGGAAACUGUCUUUUGCCCUUAGCUGACUAAAUUGAUUGCAUCAAGCUUCAACAUGCAAUACUUGGACCGGAACCCGCUUGAGCAGUCUUGAGGGUCAUUUUUGGACAAACCUUCAUUUGGCAUCCCCUUCUGGCGCUGCGCCAGCUGCAAUGUGGAGGUCAUAUUCAGCGGCGCAGCCUGGAACCUCACCUAGCGCAUUUCCCGGCACGGCGGCCCUACUUGGGCCCGGUUCUCGAGCCAGUUUCGAGCUAUGCGAGGACGACAGCAGGACAUCUGCAAACGGGACAAACGGUUUUUCGCGACGCAGCUCUGCACAGUCGACUUUCGGACAAAGCGACCCAGUUGACACUGCGGAGGCAGCUCAAGCUUAUUUAGCGUGGCAGGCGAGCCUCUUAGCCGCAUUUAUGAGCAAUGCAAAUUAUGCAACCCUGGAGAGAUAAGGAAUGUGCUCCCUUUCACAGGAGAACCACCCCUGCGUACUGACGCAUUUCGAGUCGUUUAAAGCUGCCGUUGAAGGCAAACGCCUCGCCGUGUUCCUAGAUUAUGAUGGUAUGUUUACGUUUGUGCACAAAGACCUUUACAUGUUGGAAUCUGCC